RNAcentral lists this unclassified non-coding RNA (2475 nucleotides) under Hevea brasiliensis (rubber tree). The record is from RNAcentral. Lineage: Eukaryota; Viridiplantae; Streptophyta; Magnoliopsida; Malpighiales; Euphorbiaceae.
GCCGAAUGCAUUUUAUGCAUCUAAUUUUUUUUUAUUAAGAAACUAAUAAAAUAAUAUAAUUUUAUUUGUAAAAUAAUUGAUAGAUCAGUAGUUAACUUGAAAAACCUUUAAUUUUUUAUUAUGGUAACUUUUAUGAAAUUAAAUUGAAAUUCAUGAAAGAAAUUAAAGUUUAAUAACUUUUAUGAAAAUAUUCAUAAGUAGAGUAAUAUUUACCCUAUAAUGUACUCACUAUCAAAUUCUUAUAGGGCCUACUUUCCACAUUUUCAAGUGAAUUCCAUAUGAAUUUGAAAAAAUUGCACAAAAUUCAGUGUAGAAUAAUUUCUCUGUGCACACAUGAUAUUUAACGCAGUUGACCAAUACUGGAGUCCUUUUUUGCUUUCAGUAGUAGUUUUUAUUAGAAAAAGGAAAAGGUUAACCUUUUCAUUUUUUUUUAUGGUAUUUCAUUUUUUUUAUGGUAUUUCAGUAACGAGGAAAUAGUUGCUUUAAGCAGAACAGAGGCUCGUGGGACACGCCGGUGGUAAAUAUUCAAGCAUAUGGCUGAUUUUAUGAUUGUAAAUGUGGACCAGCUGGUUUAACGUAGACCCAUUUGUUAAAAGGCAUCUUUCAUUCACGUUUACUCAUACAUAGAGCCUGUGUAGCAGUAGACACAGUCCAGUAGUAGCUCUAUAUAUAUUAGACCUGGGAGAUCCGGUUCAACUCUUCCCUCCCCCUACAUGUAUAAUAUUAAAAAAUGUACAUAGAGCCUGUAUUUGUAUACAUGAUAAAGCGUUGAAAGUAUUGGAAGUAACUUCGAUGUUGACGGUGAAGUGGCUAAUAGUACAAGCAUACCAAGACUUUGAGACUUAUGAUUGUGGUGCUGCGUAAAAGGAAUAUUGGACUUGAAACGCAAAGUUUCAGGUUUAGCAUUCAAAGCAUAGAAUGUAGCUGUAUAACAAAGAAAAAUGGAUCUUCAGGUUCGAUGUAAGCUAAAGUUGACUGCAGAGAUCUAAUCAACUUGUUAAAUAAAACAUGUAUUGACAACAAGGGAAGUGAAUGAUUUGAAGUUUGUUUGGAGAGGAAGAAAAUGGAAAAAGAAACUCAAAUCAAAGUCAUAACAUUAAAUAAAUUUAUUACCCUUAAAAGUCAAAUAUGAUAAACAUAAGAAACUAGCAAAACAUAGAUUGGGUUCUAACAACGAGGAACUUUACAAAGGCUAUUUAGAUAUAAAUAUGCGCAGCCAGCUCAUAGCCCAAGAUCACCCUCCUCCUUGAAACAAAGUAGAAAUGAAAGAGUACCUCUGUCAUCACCAUCUUUACUCUCAAUAUGAUCCCAACAUCUGCUGAGAAGUUCUCAAUUAAGCAACUGUUGCAGUCUUCUCUACAAUCCCUUCUUUUAGUGUCUGAGGGGAACCAUUCAUCAGAUUUCCAGUCUUGGCAUCCACUGUUUCCUUGUAUGCAGCUGAAUGAACACCAAGAGCAGCACGACCAGAAGGGUCAGGAUUUUUGGCCCAUGCUGCAUCCCAUUCCACUGCUUUUGCAGUACUGCACGCAACACUUGGUCCUCCAGGAACUGUCGACCUUGCAGCAUUCUUAGGGAAGAAUUUCUCAAAGAUGGUUCUGUAGUAGUAUGCCUCCUUUGUGGUAGGAGUAUUUUCAGGGUAAAUAAAGCUAGCAUUCAUCAACAUUGCAUCUGUGACUUGUUUGUUUGCAUGGUCUCUCAGACCAUCAAUCCAGCUAUACCCAACUCCAUCACUGAACUGUUCCUUCUGCCUGUACAAUAUGUGCUUUGGAAGGUACGGAUUCUUCUCAUCAUCAAUGUUGCAAUGAGCAUAGAUCCAGAGUGGAAAAUGGUAUAACCCUAUUGACCUGGGGCUUACAUAAUGUGCUUUAAUGUUUAAUCCUUGAGAAAGUACUUUAUUAUAUAAUAAGCUCUUAUAACUACUAACAGAACAAAAUAUAAUAAAGUAAUAUAACCUAGUCAUUACAUGAGCAAGUGCUGAAUAAAACCAGACCAAAAGAAUUUCUCACCCAUCCCAUCUAGGGAGGGUGAUACAAAUAUUCAAAAACUCGCAGUCAGGCACAACCUUUUCAAAAUGAUAUAUAAUCUUACGCAUAAGUAUAUGCAUGAUCUCAUCUUUCAUAUUCAGGGCUUAAAUAAUAUCGCUUCUGUGGUUUGUUUGUUUUCUAAUUUGGCACUUGAUGGAAGGUUGCAUGCCGUAAAAUGUCAGGCAUGUUGGGAACUGUUUUGACACUUUACACUAUAUGCUACUGCUUUAGUAAUUUUAUUUGCAUAAAAAUCAAAACUAUGUCAAUAGAAUUGUUGUUGUGCUUUAAAAUUGGCAAGUCUUUACUGUCUGUUCAUGAAUGCUGACAAAUUGUUUAGAAGGUUAAAUGUUUGAGAUUCUCUUCCAUUGGUUAUUAUGAUAUUACAAAAGUUACUUGCAUUUAUAAUAAUCACAGAUCAGGUCUGAUCUUAAAAGGAUAGAGAAGUGGGUCU